UACGGAGGGUGCAAGCGUUGUUCGGAAUCACUGGGCGUAAAGCGCAUGUAGGCGGCUGGUUGUGUCGAGUGUGAAAGCCCUCGGCUUAACCGAGGAAGUGCAUUCGAAACUGACCGGCUUGAGUACGGGAGAGGAGGGUGGAAUUCCCGGUGUAGAGGUGAAAUUCGUAGAUAUCGGGAGGAACACCAGUGGCGAAAGCGACCCUCUGGACCGAUACUGACGCUGAGAUGCGAAAGCGUGGGGAGCAAACAGG
Molecule: ribosomal RNA, 253 nt
Filed under: uncultured bacterium
Lineage: Bacteria
Description: partial 16S ribosomal RNA
Rfam family: Bacterial small subunit ribosomal RNA
Source: RNAcentral